This 292-nucleotide ribosomal RNA is filed under the name uncultured bacterium. Its description in RNAcentral is "partial 16S ribosomal RNA". It matches the Rfam family "Bacterial small subunit ribosomal RNA", at positions 505 to 796 of the family's 1533-position model. The record is from RNAcentral.
GUGCCAGCCGCCGCGGUAACACGGGGGGAGCAAGCGUUGUUCGGAAUCACUGGGCGUAAAGGGCGUGUAGGCGGUCAGGUAAGUGAGAUGUGAAAUGCCCCGGCUCACCCGGGGACCGGCAUCUCAUACUGCUUGGCUUGAGUACGGGAGAGGGUGUGGGAAUUCCUGGUGUAGCGGUGAAAUGCGUAGAUAUCAGGAGGAACACCGGUGGCGAAGGCGCACACCUGGCCCGAUACUGACGCUGAGGCGCGAAAGCUAGGGGAGCAAACGGGAUUAGAUACCCGCGUAGUCC